GCAGGACGAAUUUUAGUUUGAACCCCCGAAACUAAGUGAGCUACUUCGAAACAGCUUUUAGAGCACACCCGUCUCUGUUGCAAAAGAGUGGUACGAUUUCCAAGUAGGGGCAAAAAACCUAUCGCACUUAGAGAUAGCUGGUUACUCAAGAAAAGAAUUUUAGUUCAACCUUAAGUUUCUCUAUUAAACAAAAAAUUAACAAAACUUUAGAGUUAUUCAAAUAAGGCACAGCUUAUUUGAACUAGGAUACAACCUACAACAUAGGGUAAUAAUUAUUAAUAAUUAACAAGUAGACUUAAAAGCAGUCAUCUUUAAAAAAGCGUUAAAGCUUAAUACUUAAUUUAUAUUAAUAUCAUCAUCACCUUGCAACCCCUCAUCAAUAUUGAGUAACUCCAUAAUUUUAUGGAAGUUAUAAUGCUAGAACUAGUAACAAGAAUUAAACCUUCUCCUAAAUGUAAGCUUAAGCCUCAAUAGAUAAACUACUGGCAAUUAACGCAAAUGACCCAAUUAUAUUAACCCUAACAAGAAAACCCUAUAUAUUAUAACGUUACCCUUACACUAGAACAUUAAAGGAAAGAUUAAAAGAAAAAGAAGGAACUCGGCAAACCUCAACCCCGCCUGUUUACCAAAAACAUCGCCUCUUGAUAAAAUAUAAGAGGUCCAGCCUGCCCAGUGACAAAGUUCAACGGCCACGGUACCCUGACCGCGCGAAGGUAGCAUAAUCACUUGUUCUUUAAAUGAGGACUUGUAUCAACGGCACCACGAGGGUUACACUGUCUCCUUUUUCUAAUCAGUGAAACUAAUCUCCCCGUGAAGAAGCGGGGAUACUACUAUAAGACGAGAAGACCCCAUGGAGCUUUAAACCCAACUACACCCCUAUCCACAAUAACCACUUAACUAAAAGGACACUGUAUGCUUGGUUUUAGGUUGGGGCGACCACGGAGUAAAAACUAACCUCCACGAUGAACGAGCCUAUUCCUCUUAUCUAAGAGCAACACCUCUAAGAAUUAGCACACUAACAUAAUAUGAUCCUUUUCUUGAUCAACGAACCAAGUUACCCUGGGGAUAACAGCGCAAUCCAUUUCAAGAGCCCAUAUCGACAAAUGGGUUUACGACCUCGAUGUUGGAUCAGGAUAUCCUAGUGGUGUAGCA
Molecule: ribosomal RNA, 1152 nt
Filed under: Mantidactylus lugubris
Lineage: Eukaryota; Metazoa; Chordata; Amphibia; Anura; Mantellidae
Description: partial 16S ribosomal RNA
Rfam family: Bacterial large subunit ribosomal RNA
Source: RNAcentral